GAAGUCAGCACAUAGGUAGUCAGUCAUAACCGAUUGGUAUUCAAAUAUACAAAGGAUGAAUUACAUAAGCUUUACCUGAACAACCCGACAAUUUGCCGUGAAUCCUUCUUGUGAUUGUGUGUCCUUAAAAGUUCUGAGCUGCUGUUGAUGUAGAGUUUUGUAACGGUGGACCCCUCAGUCUAUGACAGAAACAAGUAGGACAGAAGAUUCCAUCUUCAUCACUAACAAAAGAAAAAGGGAGGUUUGCAUUUUAAGGAGCAGUACAUAUUGGCAGCCAUGUAGCUUUGUAGUUGCUUCAAAGAAUUUUUUUCCUUGUCUGGUAAUUGGUUGGUAAUGUUGCCCAUUCUAUUGUUAACUUUUUUCUCUAGUUCAUGCUGUAAAACAUUUAUUUUAGAACUUUGAAUACCUCCUAUCCUUAUAGCCAUGGAACACUUGACAUUGACUCCAUUUACACUUGCAGAAACAAUAACGAACAUAUUUGCAACAAGUAUUUUUUUGUGACCAUGAAACAAAAAAUUGUGAAUUUUUCUAAGUACCUAUAUUUAGAAGACAUCUAGCGGAGGAAUUGCUUGUUAUUGAGUACUCUACUGAACUGUCAAUUUGUUCGUUGUCAGGGGGCUAUAUCUAGUGUGGUUGCCAUAAUAAUGGUUGCCUCGCGUAUUGGAAAUGCUUUGCCGAAUCCCAGGAUAUCGCCAAGUGUGCCAUAUUGUCAUAAUCGUUUUUCUCUUUAGGAUGGUUACCAAUGUGCAGUUGAAUUCUAAAAGCUUUUGUUUGAUAUGCUAUAUUUAAAGAACUGAUGUUGGCAUCAGCUUGAUGGGAAAAAGUCAUUUCCAAUGUGGGCACAAACUUGGAUUUAUUUGAUGAUAGAGUCGGAUGGUUUUCCUGAAGUUGCAGUUUGAAAUAACCUUUCAAAGCAUAAACUCGUCUUCGUAGAAAGGGACUUGUGAAAAGUAACGCUGGCUCUGUAAAUGUUCUUGGUUUGGGGCAAGAUGUUGAAUAAAUUGCGAUGAUUGGAUGGACAACAUGGAAUUCCUACACUUUAUUCGUAUUCCC
Long non-coding RNA from Daphnia carinata, 1053 nucleotides. RefSeq lists it as uncharacterized. NCBI's taxonomy places the organism in Eukaryota, Metazoa, Arthropoda, Branchiopoda, Diplostraca, Daphniidae. The record is from RefSeq and is a predicted model, not a curated record. The transcript is spliced from 6 exons.